This 253-nucleotide ribosomal RNA is filed under the name uncultured bacterium. RNAcentral describes it as "partial 16S ribosomal RNA". It matches the Rfam family "Bacterial small subunit ribosomal RNA", at positions 524 to 776 of the family's 1533-position model. The record is from RNAcentral.
UACGUAGGGCGCAAGCGUUGUCCGGAAUUAUUGGGCGUAAAGAGCUCGUAGGCGGCUCGUCGCGUCGACCGUGAAAACCCGCAGCUUAACUGCGGGCUUGCGGUUGAUACGGGCGGGCUAGAGUUCGGUAGGGGAGACUGGAAUUCCUGGUGUAGCGGUGAAAUGCGCAGAUAUCAGGAGGAACACCGGUGGCGAAGGCGGGUCUCUGGGCCGAUACUGACGCUGAGGAGCGAAAGCGUGGGGAACGAACAGG